Molecule: long non-coding RNA, 1353 nt
Filed under: Astyanax mexicanus (Mexican tetra)
Lineage: Eukaryota; Metazoa; Chordata; Actinopteri; Characiformes; Acestrorhamphidae
Description: lncRNA (ENSAMXG00005014002.1)
Source: RNAcentral
GGGUGGCUGGAGGUGGUGUGUAUAAUCUUGUGUGCGCAUGCAGGACUUCCAACGCCUCCCUGCUGCUGUUGUUUAGAGAGAUAAGCAGGACAAUGACACAGCGAACUCGACACUGUCCCGCCAACAGAGAGGGAAAUUUAAACACACUCACCGCCCCCGCCAACACACUGCUAUUCACACUCGCCAUUCUGCGCUAUUAUACGCUGAUGAUCGUUGAUCCCUGGAUCUGUCUGAUGGCAUCAUGGACCCCACAGUGAUCCAGACUGGAGAGGUGCCGCUGGUGGUGGUGGUUAGUAGUGUGGUCACUCUGUGUUUGCUGGUGAUCACUACACUGUGGAUGUGCUGGAAGAUGAAGGCGGGGCUCAGCAGCCAAUCAGACGAGAGUGAUGACACAGACGAGUUGAAACCCCCUGAAAAUGAUUUGCCCACAGAAACACCCCAAACAGAGGAUUUUGAGCUGCCUCAGGACGAUCAGGACGAACCGCCGGACGAAGACAAUAACGAAGAAGAACCUGAAGAAGAAGAUAACGACAGUUGAAGCAGUGUGUGUUCUAGGGCGUCACAUCAAUGUCAAAAGUCAGGGGAGCAAAAACAACAGGUGAAAAAAAUUAACCAGCAUGUUUUAACAUUUUGUGCAUAUAAAUGAACUUCUUUUUCUCCUCUCGGGUUUUUUUUUCUCUCGAAUUCACAGUUCUCCUCCUACUGUUGUUUUUGCGCUCAAGUUUUUUUGACAGUUGACAGGGUCGCCUCCCUCAGCAAAUGCUAUUGGCUGAUAUCUCUAGGGUUUGUGACGGACCACCUACUAACAACAGCUGGAAGAGUUAGCUAACUGGCUAUGCUAACAUCCAAACAACCCGCUCUCCGGCACGCCGACUCUGUCUGCCUGGGUUAGCUCCUCGAGUGACCGUCUAUCAGCCAAUAGCAUUCGCUGAGGGAGGCGACCCUGACCCCGCCCCCAAACUGUCAAAACCACCCCUUUCAAAACUAGAGCACAAAAAACUCACUCGAGUGAAAACAGCAGCACGAGGUAAACUGUGAAUUUGUGAGGAAAAAGAACACCCGAGAGGAGAAAAAUGAUGCUCGAGAGAGAUAUUCUAUUCAGCGCGCACACGAUUCCCUUUUUUUUGCUCGCGAGUUUCACAUUUGUGCUCACGAGAAGUACAUUUACACACUCAACAUGUUAAAACACGCUGGUUAAUUUUUUUCACCUGUUAUUUUUCUGCCCCCGACUUUUGACAUUAAUGUGAUGCCAUAGUGUUCCACCUCCAGCUGCCACUGAUCAUUUUAUUUUAUUUUAUGACUGGAAUACUUCCUUUACAUACAUAAAUAAACCUACCCAAAAGUAUCUGGACA